GACGAACGCUGGCGGCGUGCCUAACACAUGCAAGUCGAACGGAAAGGCCCUUUCGGGGCUCCACUAGUGGCGCAGGGGGGCGUAUCACGUGGAUGAUCUUCCCUGCACUUUGGGAUUAGCCUGGGUAACUGGGUCCAAUACCGGAAAGGACUACGCGAUGGAUGUCGUGUGGUGGAAAGCUGUUGCGGUGUGGGAUGGGCCUGCGGCCUAUCAGCUUGUUGGUGGGGUGAUGGCCUACCAAGGCGACGACGGGUAGCCGGCCUGAGAGGGUGGCCGGCCACACUACGACUGAGGGACGGAGCAGACUCCAAUGGUAGGCAGAGGUCGAGAACAUUACACAGCGAGCGCGAGUGUGAUGCAGCGACGUCGCGUGGGUGAAGCCCUCCUACUGGGUGUAAACCCCUGUCAGCACAGACGUAGCGUAAUUGACGGUAUGUACAGAAGAAGCACCGGCUAACUACGUG
RNAcentral lists this ribosomal RNA (464 nucleotides) under uncultured bacterium. RNAcentral describes it as "partial 16S ribosomal RNA". It matches the Rfam family "Bacterial small subunit ribosomal RNA", at positions 28 to 507 of the family's 1533-position model. The record is from RNAcentral.